Molecule: transfer RNA, 165 nt
Filed under: Blumeria hordei DH14
Lineage: Eukaryota; Fungi; Ascomycota; Leotiomycetes; Helotiales; Erysiphaceae
Description: tRNA-Val for anticodon UAC
Source: RNAcentral
GGCCGGGUGGUGUAGCGGUUAUCACAACAGCUUUACAGGUUGUUUAGCCUUCCACGUCUUGAUCAUGUGUCAGCCGAAUGGCUGCAUACGUUUUCAAAGGUCUUGGUGGAGAGGGAGGCCGCCUCCUGUCGCUGUUGGUCGCGAGUUCGUUCCUCGCCCUGGUCA